This 492-nucleotide ribosomal RNA is filed under the name uncultured bacterium. RNAcentral's name for it is "partial 16S ribosomal RNA". It matches the Rfam family "Bacterial small subunit ribosomal RNA", at positions 29 to 507 of the family's 1533-position model. The record is from RNAcentral.
AGUGAACGCUGGCGGCAUGCCUAACACAUGCAAGUCGAACGGCAGCACAGGAAGUGCUUGCUCUUACCGGUGGCGAGUGGCGGGCGGGUGACGUAUACAUCGGAACCUACGUUGUCGUGGGGGCGAACGUAGGCGGACUUAUGCUAAUACCGCAUACCACAUACGGGCGGAAGCACGGGAUCUUCGGACCUUGCGCGAUUGAAUGAGCCGAUGUCGGAUUAGCUAGUUGGCGGGGUAAAGGCCCACCAAGGCGACGAUCCGUAGCUGGUCUGAGAGGAUGAUCAGCCACACUGGGACUGAGACACGGUCCAGACUCCUACGGGAGGCAGCAGUGGGGAAUUUUGGACAAUGGGCGAAAGCCUGAUCCAGCAAUGCCGCGUGUGUGAAGAAGGCCUUCGGGUUGUAAAGCCCUUUUGUUCGGAAAGAAAAGCUGGAGUCUAAUACAGCCCUGUUAUGACGGUACCCAAAGAAUAAGCACCGGCUAACUACGUG